This 500-nucleotide ribosomal RNA is filed under the name uncultured bacterium. RNAcentral describes it as "bacterial SSU rRNA". It matches the Rfam family "Bacterial small subunit ribosomal RNA", at positions 15 to 507 of the family's 1533-position model. The record is from RNAcentral.
GAUCCUGGCUCAGAUUGAACGCUGGCGGCAUGCCUUACACAUGCAAGUCGAACGGCAGCACGGGUGCUUGCACCGUGGUGGCGAGUGGCGAACGGGUGAGUAAUAUAUCGGAACGUACCUUAUCGUGGGGGAUAACGCAGCGAAAGCUGCGCUAAUACCGCAUACGCCCUGGAGGGGAAAGCGGGGGACCGUAAGGCCUCGCGCGAUUGGAGCGGCCGAUAUCAGAUUAGGUAGUUGGUGGGGUAAAGGCUCACCAAGCCAACGAUCUGUAGCUGGUCUGAGAGGACGACCAGCCACACUGGGACUGAGACACGGCCCAGACUCCUACGGGAGGCAGCAGUGGGGAAUUUUGGACAAUGGGCGCAAGCCUGAUCCAGCAAUGCCGCGUGCAGGAAGAAGGCCUUCGGGUUGUAAACUGCUUUUGUACGGAACGAAACGGUCCUGGUUAAUACCUGGGGCUAAUGACGGUACCGUAAGAAUAAGCACCGGCUAACUACGUG